This 24-nucleotide non-coding RNA is filed under the name Arabidopsis thaliana (thale cress). Lineage: Eukaryota; Viridiplantae; Streptophyta; Magnoliopsida; Brassicales; Brassicaceae. The record is from RNAcentral. RNAcentral also lists the same sequence under 1 other name.
CAUUGCGAUGGUCCCUGCGGAUGC